AAGGAAGGUGCAAGUGGGAGGUAUCUCCAGAUUGUGCUGCACUGUGCUUGGUACUGGGAGAACCUAUGAUGCCAACUGUGGGGGGAAUAAAGUUGCUUAGCAACGUGGAAAUGGGAGAAGCUAUAAGGCUUCCCAGUGUUCACGCAAUCGUCCCUAUUUCUGUGCCUCUUCUACCUUUCAUCCCAGAGGUUAACUGGUGCUGUGAAUUCUGAAAUGUGUCAGACCCACACUGCAGUCUGAAGGCUCUCUCGACCUACGCUUGCUCCAUCUCCCGUUUAUCCUCCAUUUAUGUUUCCUCUAAUAAAUUCUUGCACAUCUAACUUUGUCAUGUCAUCUGCUUCUCUGAGGACUCAAAUUAUCACCUGGGAUUUUGGAAAGAAGUUUUAUUAGAUGUCUAGUCCACUG
This 405-nucleotide long non-coding RNA is filed under the name Homo sapiens (human). Its description in RNAcentral is "HSALNT0152125". Lineage: Eukaryota; Metazoa; Chordata; Mammalia; Primates; Hominidae. The record is from RNAcentral.